Molecule: ribosomal RNA, 487 nt
Filed under: uncultured bacterium
Lineage: Bacteria
Description: bacterial SSU rRNA
Rfam family: Bacterial small subunit ribosomal RNA
Source: RNAcentral
AUGAACGCUAGCUACAGGCUUAACACAUGCAAGUCGAGGGGCAGCAUUGGAGUAGCAAUACUUCAGAUGGCGACCGGCGGACGGGUGCGUAACGCGUAUGCAACAUACCUUGUGCAGGGGGAUAGCCCGUGGAAACGCGGAUUAAUAUUCCAUAGUCCAGCUAUAUCGCAUGGUAUAGUUGGUAAAGAUUUAUCGGCACAAGUUUGGCAUGCGUCUGAUUAGCUUGUUGGUAGGGUAACGGCCUACCAAGGCUACGAUCAGUAGGGGUUCUGAGAGGAUUAACCCCCACACUGGUACUGAGACACGGACCAGACUCCUACGGGAGGCAGCAGUGAGGAAUAUUGGUCAAUGGGCGGAAGCCUGAACCAGCCAUCCCGCGUGAAGGAAGACAGCCUUACGGGUUGUAAACUUCUUUUCUGUCAGAAGAAUAAGCUUGUCGAGACGAGUGAUGCCGGUAUGACAGGAAUAAGCAUCGGCUAACUCCGUG